AUGAACGCUGACGACCUCAAGAAGCUUGAAGAGGAGCUCAAGCAACGCGAGUCCAUCAUCAGAACUCGCGAGGAAGAACUCCGGUGUCUUGCCGAGGAGCGCGGCAAGAUAGUUCUCGCAUCCACCCCUGCACCUGUUCCUGCACCGUCCUCCUAUGCUGCUUCAAUCAAGACAUAUGUUCCCAUCACUCUUGAUCUUCAGGAUUCCAACUACGCCAAAUGGCGUGAGCUUUUUCUCGUGGUCCUUGGGCGCUACGGCCUCUCCAGCCACGUCGGCGGCGGCGGCGCCGCCGACGCCACCCCCUCCGACACAUUGGGAGGGGGGUCUGGUGGGCGUGGGGGUGAGGUGAUGUUGCCUGGUGAUUUCCUCGCCGUAUCCCUGGUAAUUUCCAGCGCUCCCCUGAUGGAUCUGCUCUUGUUUGAUCCAGAUCUAGAGGAGGGAAUGCGAGGCCUGGCCAAAUGGGCCGGCCCGGCCUGGGUUAAACGGGCCCGAACCCCUCUUGCCCUCUCUCCUAUAAAAGCUGUGCUUUUACCCCCGCACUCCAUCGCCUCGCCGCCGUUCCCCGCAACACCCUGUCGACCCAAUCUCACAUCCUCCUCUCGCCCGCCCGAGGUCUCGGAUCCAGCCAGCGUGGUCUCCCUCCGCGUGCAUCCGGAGUUUCUCGUUCCGAUUGUGGUUGGUAGGCGCGGCGCGGCGCGGGUUCAUAGGUGUCGGAUCCAGCGCCGUCUGUAUCCUAUUCCACUUAACCUGCAGCUGCUGAUUAAUGUUGUAUUCAUAUGUGCUGCUUUCCAGCUCUCUUGUUUCGAUAGUCUUCUUCGCCGCCAAAAGGAAAUGAUGCUCUACAAAAUCCGCUCCCAUGCCCAAAUCCAAGACCUGCAGGCCCGCUCCGAUGAGCUGGGCCUCUCCAAUAAGUCCAUGCUUGUGAGUCUUGUCUCUCUGGAGUCGGUGCGCAUAGCGUGGGAGUCGUAUGCGCUCCUCCGCCCGCUGAUCAAGGAGUCGUGGAUUUGGGUAUGCCCGCAGCUGGAAAUCCUCUCGGACGUGGCAGGCUUGUCGCUGGAAAUCCAAAAGCUCGAGCAUGAUGUGUUACCCCAGCUCAAGCUUCAGGAGGCUAAGCUGGAAAGGGGCGCCCUGGAAGCCCUCCUACUCAUGAAGAACUCAGCUGUUGCGCUCUUACAUUUGAGGAAGUGCUUUAAGGAAGACUUGGGCGUAUUGCUUGCCAAGGAGGAUCUGGUCUCAGCCAAAGUCAAAAGGCUGAGCAAAAUGCUAAAGUAUAUUGCUGUCCGGUUGCUUCAGGAGCGUGAAUGCAACAUUGUCGGGCUUCAGGAGCGUGUCCGGUUGCUGGUCCAGCUGGUCACCGAGGUGUUGAACACCCCGGUUCAUUUCGAUGAUUCUGAUGAGUCUUCUGAUGAGUCUUCUGAUGAGUAG
This 1425-nucleotide ribosomal RNA is filed under the name Triticum aestivum (bread wheat). RNAcentral describes it as "partial small subunit ribosomal RNA". Lineage: Eukaryota; Viridiplantae; Streptophyta; Magnoliopsida; Poales; Poaceae. The record is from RNAcentral.